Alexandromys fortis (reed vole) is the source of this 516-nucleotide long non-coding RNA. RefSeq lists it as uncharacterized. The transcript is spliced from 4 exons. NCBI's taxonomy places the organism in Eukaryota, Metazoa, Chordata, Mammalia, Rodentia, Cricetidae. The record is from RefSeq and is a predicted model, not a curated record.
CAGAGGGGAGUUGGGAACUGCUAAGGGGUUCUGAGCACUGAAGUAACCUGACGUGAUGAUUGUUCUCAAAGGGGUCUUCUGGCUGUUGUGGGAGAAUAGACUCCCGUGAAAGGCUACAGGUGCCCUUCAGCUCCUAGGACUUGUCUUACUUCCCAGGCUGGUGGCUCGCAACGCGGUUUUUUUCUCCAUUCCAUGAACAUCGCCAUCUGAAUUUCUGUUUCUUCAGAUGGAGCAAUGCUCCGGGGAUGCUACUGCAGACCUUAAAGUCAGGAUACAGUUUUCUUGUUAUUAAUUAUAUACAGAAAGCCAAUAUCCCCUUGGAGGAGACGCCCCUGUCACCUGUGGCUUAUUUGAGAUCCAGCAUGUCAACCACAGGCCACGGUUACGAUCCACCAGCUGCUUAUGCCUAUCUGUGUGAAGAACUAACCUGGAGUCUACACCUCUGACCUGAUCAUCAGCAUCUCCCUUCAACUCAGCUGCCACUCGGUCCCCAUGGCAUACACACACACACACACA